CUUAUGGCUGUGGAAAAGCUGCAAUAAACAGCAGCCAACGUUAGGGCUGUGCCUCCUUGCGGUUUCAGUGUGGGCCAAACUGGCCUACCCGCACGGGCAGUGCCGUUCCGGGAGCAAGCACCGCGGGCAGCCCUGGGUCAUCGUCCCAGGGUAACCGCGCACCGCGUGCUGGCGCCGGCGGCAUCGGUGCUGUUAUCUUGCUGCAAGGAAAGGCACCAGCGAGGGGACAGAGAGGGACCGUGUGGGUGAGACACCGGCCCAACCGCCUCAGUUAAUGUGUAACCGUGGAUGGGCGAGCUCCUGUGCACGGUAGCACUAGGGCUCUCUGCGGCUGGUAUCGGAGUGGGAUCCGGCGUGGGAGGCGAGCGCCCCGGAGCUGUACCCCACCAGCAGCUGGCUUAAGAUGUGGUCCUGGUCUGCUCUGGUCUCACUGAACUUUGAUCUGCCUUCACAUAAUUGCAAGCCCAGACCCUGAAGAUGCUGAACUCUCAUGGGAACUCUCCAAUCGAGAGCAUUAACAAAGAGUGAUCAAUAGAUUAUGGCACACUUACUUUUGCUGAUACAUUUCUUGGCACUCUGCCAAACAAAAUUGGUGAAAGGAAACAUAAUAGAAAAUGAGUUUUGAGAAUCAGGUGCUCAUCACUGCAAGGUCUGAGUCCUCUCUGGAGUUAGCGGCCAUAUCCUCAGAAUACCCCCAUGAGCUGGAUGUUACUGUCCUCUUUCUCAGCCUGUUGCUCGCUGUGGCAUCGGAUCAGAUGCCUUCACAUAUGCCUGGGGUGGCAGAGGGGGAACUGAGAUCAGAGAGAUCGUGGAAGAUCUGUGUGGUCUGACUGGGCUGAUAAACUGCUGUGGUAGAGGUUCUCGAGGCCUGGUCUAAGAAAGUGGUUUUCCCCAUGUGGCACACUGUGUAGAGAACCCAUGACAUUAACUUGGACCUUGAGGGCAAUGCAGAUGCACUGGUCCAGCAGCACCACACCACUUGCCUGCAGCAGGAGAUGUACCUGGGAUCCUUUUAUUUUGGAUGAGCACUGCAUUGUGCUCCCGUAUGUGCUGCGUGGGGAAGGGACUGAAGCACAGAUGUCCUGAAACCUUUGUAAAUACUCCUCCUUCCUAAUGAACGCCACUGGUGUUGGCAAUGACUACAAUUUUAUUUUGCACACUGACAUGCAAAAGGCCCUGAAAAUAGUUAUGAAAACACAGUCUAAAAGACAGCAACACAGUUUAACAGACAGCUUGCUCAGACAAACUACCCAGUUCAGCACUACAUUACUCCUAAUGAAACCAGUCUGGAGAUGCAGUGUGACCAGAAACAACUGCUUUGUUUACUGGGUGAGUGUUUGAAAGGUAAGCUGUAAGUAUACACAGAUAACAGCUCUACAGAUAGAAAAACAACCAGCAUGGAAGUUACCCAUCAAAUUCUGCAUUACUUGAAGACAGCAAAAGCAGUAAUAAUAAGGUAAUAUGUAACUUUUUUCUCUUCAAGGCCUUUUGAAAGUAAAGCUAAGAAGCCAAAUAUACAGCUAAGGACCAUAUUGCAGAAACAUGUAGAAUAGGUUAUCUGUGAACAGACAUGUCAGUCAUCUGUCAUCAUAUAUAUCUAGAAGACUUGUCUUAGAUUUUGGCACAAUUAUCACUCACUCUCUUUAUGCUGCUUAAUAACAGGCCUUUUACAUUACAAUGGGAGCCAGUUUUCACUCCAAGUUUGGAUCAUACAAGACAUAACUUAGUGUUGGUGCACAAUCCUUGCCCAGAAAAAUUCACCUGCCCCCAACAAACCUGCAGAGAUAGCAUAAUGCAUUGCAUGAAUGCUGACUUAAUCAUUUGAUUACUCUUUGUCAUUCAAGGCCCAGAGAAACUUCAUCCUAGUAAACCAUUUUAAUUUUACCUCUGUCUCUUGUACAUCUUUCUCACUUCACUAAUAAAGCUAGAAGAGCUACAGUAACAUUGGUAUUACAGGAACUAACAGAUACGUUAAAAAAAUAAGUAAAUGAAAAAGAGAGAGACUGUUUAUCUUCUUUUGGAUGGCGGAUGUGAUGGUACUGCUCUAAGAGCAUAUUUCUCACAAGGGUCUACUUUUGUUCCUGCAGGUGAAAGGGAACAGGACUAGACUCUAAGUCACUGUUUGAUGAAGCCACAUCAUCUCCUUAACUCUCAGAAAUAAAUAUUUGGUUUAUGUUUUUUCUUCCAUUUUAAAAUGUUUUUAUUUGGACAUAGACAAUAUAUGGAUUCUUUAUUGUUUAUGUGCUCUGUAGGAACAGAUCUCUACGCAGUUAGCUUAGAAACUUACUUUGCUUAGCAUGGCUUUCUUUUUUUCUUUUUUUUUUUUUUUAAGAGAUAGAAUGAGUUAAAUGCAUAAUUCAAAUUACCAUUUUAAAGAUUGUCUUGAAAAGAAAAAAGUCUUAAACAAAAUAGACAAUUAUAUAAUGAAGAUUUUGGUAUUCUUAAUAGUUUCACAGAACUAACCUGUGAUUCCAUCCAUCAGUUCACUGGAAGACACUUGGAAUCAAGUCAAGUCACCUUCCUGAAUACAUGUGCCCUGUGAACACUGAGUGUAGUACUAUGAUCAUCUAAAACCUGUUAGCUGUCACAUGCAAGGAGGCCAUGCCCCACAGGUCCCACAUUUCAACUUUACUGUGACCCAGUUGGAAUACUGCGUAAGUUACUGCAUGGAAAACACUGAACUAUUUUUUUUCUCACUUAUUUCCAUGUAACUUCCUGAGUCACUGGGAAAAAAAAUAAAAGAAACUGAGCCUACAGAAAAUCGGGAACCUACUAGAGAUAUUGUCUUUAUGUUCAGUGCAAAAUCAUUCAGAAUGAUUAUUUUGAUCUGAAUCUCCAUGUACAUUAUUAUUGGUGUUAAUGGGAAUGGAGGAUGUACAUGUGAGCUGUUGGAAUCAGAACAGUGGGAUGGGAAUGAUACAUAACGAAGAGAAAACUCCCUGCCCAGGGAAUUCAGACAGUGCUGUGCAGUCACUGCUAUGCUAUUUGCCACGUGCUAUAUACAGUCACAAAAUAUUCCACUCAGUCAGAGACAUGGCCAGAAAAAGCCCUGCGAACCCCAAAGUCUUACAGUCUUAUAAUAACCACUGAAGCACGCCUUCCACCACAAAAGGAAUACAGCAAAGCUCCUGUUGACCCACAUGGGAAAAGCUGUGUGCAAUUUAUUCAGAAUAUAAAGAAGCAGGAAAAAUCAGGGGGGCUCAUUUCAGUAGAUCCAUGGCCUUUUGGCAUUGCUCUGGAACUGUGAAGCACAUGUGAGCUUGCUGUAAUCACAUCUGAAUACCAGAGACAAGUCCUUCCGCAGCUUUGAAAAGCACUGGGAAUACCUGACGCUGUCCCACAGAGGGUUGUGCAGUGGUGAAGAAACACAGGAAAAAAAAAUCAGGAAGUAAAGCCGGAAACUCAAGAACUCACAAAAAAGAUUGCAGCAAACAGGGAAGGCUUGGGCCUAUGUACUGCCAUUAAAAAAAAAAUCUCA
Non-coding RNA from Anas platyrhynchos (mallard), 3478 nucleotides. The record is from RefSeq and is a predicted model, not a curated record. Lineage: Eukaryota; Metazoa; Chordata; Aves; Anseriformes; Anatidae.